This 254-nucleotide ribosomal RNA is filed under the name uncultured bacterium. RNAcentral describes it as "partial 16S ribosomal RNA". It matches the Rfam family "Bacterial small subunit ribosomal RNA", at positions 524 to 776 of the family's 1533-position model. The record is from RNAcentral.
UACGUAGGGGGCUAGCGUUGUCCGGAUUUAUUGGGCGUAAAGAGCUCGUAGGCGGUUCGGUAAGUCGGAUGUGAAAUCUCCAGGCUCAACCUGGAGGGGUCAUUCGAUACUGCCGUGACUAGAGUUCGGUAGAGGAGUGUGGAAUUCCUGGUGUAGCAGUGAAAUGCGUAGAUAUCAGGAGGAACACCGAUGGCGAAGGCAGGUCUCUGGGCUGACACUGACGCUGAUGUGCGAAAGCUAGGGGAGCAAACGGG